Molecule: long non-coding RNA, 965 nt
Filed under: Volvox carteri
Lineage: Eukaryota; Viridiplantae; Chlorophyta; Chlorophyceae; Chlamydomonadales; Volvocaceae
Description: long non-coding RNA (VCAR_LNC002409)
Source: RNAcentral
UCCUGAAUGACAUCCUUCACGCCAAGGCCGCUACUUAUACCAUUCUGAGCUUGAAAUCCAGGAGAGGCUGUCCGCACAUGAAGGCUGCCCUUCCGUUCCUGAAGGGUGUCUCUCCAAGGUCUGCGCCCCCAUAAACUCGUAGUGCGCCGAUUGAUGAGCCUGUAGCUACCUAAUUGUUUCUCAUUGAGUUCAAGUUUUGCUGCAGCGGACAUGUUAUCAGCUUGUUACGUGCACCAGCUAGAAACAUGCGAAUGUCUAUAGUCCAGAUCCUGUCGGUAGCCCCAUUAACAUAGAUAAAUGUGUUUAAAUUUAUCUUGACUCAUCCUUAGGUUCAUCGUCUUUCUUGUCUGCGAGAAAUGAAGACCUAUCCAGUCACCGAUCACUCAAGUCACCUAGCUCCUUCCUCGAGAAAGAUGUAUCAAAAUAAAACUAUUAAUCCUAACUAUUACAAACCUUGAAAGUCGCGCAUGAUGAUGUAAAGCCAAGUCGUGGUCCGCUUGGUUUGAGUCAUACGAUGGGAUGAAGACAUUUUUGUCGAAACAUACCCGUGGCUACGGCUUAAUAAUUUGAGCACUUAAGUCUUAAUUCCGCAGCCGCGAUGAGGGCUUACUAAAGGUCGGUGCAAAGGGAGCAAACAGCGGAGAUGCAUUAUGCGUGCGAAGACGCGUUAGAGCGUUAGUUUUAUGAGAGGACGGAAAACUGAGGGCAACAGAGAUGGAUCCUGCACUAACCGGUGAUAAUGUCGGGCCGUGUCUGCCUAAUCUGUUGCUUCGACGGAAGAAGUGCUUCUUUAAGUCGUUGCUGCGCUGAUAGGAUCAACCAUAUUCCCUGAGUGCAUGCCUUUGUAUCAGUACGCCAACUUAAUCCGACCGCUAUGCGAGCAAGUUCAUCCCGUACCGUACCGUACUACCGUAACUUGGCAGCGAGCCUAUCCCACGGCUAAGGGGUCAAGCUGUUGUCACGCG